CGCUGAAGCGCGGCGCAGCUGGCGCUCGUGUUUCAAUACAUUGCGCUUCAUAUUUAUACACAAGGCGGCCUGUGGUUUCACGCGGUUCCAUGGUGUUCUCCCUACAUUUAAAUACUUACAAAUUGUGCUGGCUAAGUAUUUAAUAACUAUCGUGUGCAUUAAAAAAUUGGCUCUUCAUUAUGCAUGGAAUUGUGUGUACAAAGGCCUUUCUGAGUAACUGUGUACAAAUUUGCAAACUGCUGUCCUUGACUGGGUGGUGGGCCAGCCUCAUGCUUUCUCAUUCUUUCACUGUUGCGUAGCAAUGUGUUAAAAAAGAAGUUUCAAGGAAUUUUAUCAAUUGUGAUGCAUGGCGACACCUUUCGACUUAUCUGUGAGCAUAUUUGGUAUAAUCGUAUUGCAAAGAUUGCGUACACCGGCUUUAUCUAUUUGCAAUGGCAGCUUUCGUACGACAUUUGUGUAUUGUCUUUUCUAUGUUGGUCGCUACUCGUUUGUAUGUAUUUUUAGAGCCCUGACAGGCUGAUGAAGGAUGACUAAAGUCUUCUGAAAGCUAUCAUUACUAAGAAAUGGAGCUGGUGUUAUGAACAGUGAACAGUGUCCCAAAAUUUUAUUUCAGAGUGAAAAAUUGUUCUUGAAAAUUGGAGAUGAAAGUGGAAAAUUGAUUUCAGUUGGAUGUCACUUCCCACCCAAAACUGGCAAAUUUUGGGACAUUGGUUUUGAACAAACUUAACAAUACAAUACCACUGUCCCAGGCUCCAGCUGAAUAACAUCUACAUAUAACAUAAUACUUUGUGUAAGCAUCUUGUACAACUGUGUUGCUGUGAUAAUGAAAUCAAAACACAUGCAUCCUGCAUCCAUGAAAGUGGAUAGACAAGACAUGCACUACUACAUAUGCUGUGCCUGGCUCAAGAUUCCUAUAUGUAGCAAGGUUGCCCUACCGACACUGGCAAAAUGAAUGCUUCCUUGAACAAAGCUAACCAAAGGUGCCAUCAACUGUCUUAAUCUGAACAGGAAGGAAGCCUAGUUUUCAACAUAGACAAUGUGACUUUCAGGGUGUGCACCACCCGGUGUUCAUUUGUUAACAUCAAUAAUGUGUGACCACGAAAGGAAACCCUUCUGAAGGUAACAUCUCUCGACCAUUCUAAGAUCCUGUCCACUACCUUAAUAUUAACAGGUCUUUUAAAUAACCAUGCAUUAUUCCUCUGAUAAUGCUUGUUAUGUUUUCAAAUAGGUUCAUGUUCUUUCAUCCUGAUUUUUCAAAGAUAAAUAUCACUUGAGUUUGUUUUUAUUGCAAGUGUGAUGCAUGUAAUUUCAUCUUCAUGUUUUCUCAGAUCGAAGAUCUUGCUCGCAGCUAUGCCUCAUUGCCUACCAUGGCCAAAACCUCUUUGAGGUUUACUGUAGGUAGUGUUCUCCGUCUGAUUGUUAUGUGUUGAGGAUGAGCUGAAUGUUACUGAUAUUGAUACCUGAUAUCUAAUUGUGGUCAAUGUUAAGUGUAACACCGUGACAUCUUCCAAUGCCAAAGUUUAUUUCCAACGAGCCAAAGCUUGUUUGCAUUGCAAUUACGAGCGGUAGUGUGAUGUGUGGAACGUGUAGUAUGUACGAUUGGGAACCACUUACUCUGGUGGCAUGUUUGCAUAUAUGAGAAUGUUCAGUGUUCAUCGUCUUUAGAUAAUAAAAGCAUUGGCAUAUCA
RNAcentral lists this long non-coding RNA (1688 nucleotides) under Amphibalanus amphitrite. Its description in RNAcentral is "uncharacterized LOC122385623". Lineage: Eukaryota; Metazoa; Arthropoda; Thecostraca; Balanomorpha; Balanidae. The record is from RNAcentral.